RNAcentral lists this transfer RNA (73 nucleotides) under Candidatus Dojkabacteria bacterium. Its description in RNAcentral is "tRNA-Ala". It matches the Rfam family "tRNA". From Rfam's summary of the family: Transfer RNA (tRNA) molecules are approximately 80 nucleotides in length. The record is from RNAcentral.
GGGGUUGUAGUUCAACUGGUAGAACAUCGCAUUCGCAUUGCGAAGGUCGGGGGUUCGAUUCCCCCCAACUCCA